AACGCACAUUGCGCCCGGUGGUAUUCCGCCGGGCAUGCCUAUUCGAGCGUCAUUACAACCCUCACGCCCCGCGUGGUCUUGGGUCGAGCCCCCCGGGCUGGCCUCAAAAGCAGUGGCGGUGCCUCUGGGUCCUGAGCGUAGUAAACACUUCCGCUACAGGGCUCCCGAGCGCGCUGGCCGAACCCCAACUCUCCAGGUUGACCUCGGAUUAGGUAGGGAUACCCGCUGAACUUAA
RNAcentral lists this unclassified non-coding RNA (235 nucleotides) under uncultured fungus. RNAcentral describes it as "sequence contains ITS2". Lineage: Eukaryota; Fungi. The record is from RNAcentral.